Non-coding RNA from Chelonoidis abingdonii (Abingdon island giant tortoise), 96 nucleotides. Lineage: Eukaryota; Metazoa; Chordata; Testudines; Testudinidae. The record is from RefSeq and is a predicted model, not a curated record.
UUUGUGGGUUGUGUGUGCGAAACAAACAGGUCAGCGAGGCUGAGGAGUGGAUGGUUGGGUGCUGAAAUGACUCAAGGCAUGGACUUAAGUGUGAGG